RNAcentral lists this long non-coding RNA (253 nucleotides) under Ananas comosus (pineapple). Its description in RNAcentral is "long non-coding RNA (ACOM_LNC018366)". Lineage: Eukaryota; Viridiplantae; Streptophyta; Magnoliopsida; Poales; Bromeliaceae. The record is from RNAcentral.
AGGCUUCGCUUGGUAUCGAGGCAUAUCUAACAUUAUUAGAUAAAAUGGAGUUAGGAUAAAAACAUAUAAAUAUAUACUUCUGCAUUCUCAGGUGGGAUCGCAGAAAAUAUAUCAUAACUGACUCAUCGCAACAUACAGAACACUAUAUUACGUAUGGAAACAAACAGAUAUUUUUCCAUCGUACUUUCUCACCGCACGUAAUGCAAUCUCCCCGCAAUCCCAAACGAAGCCUAAGAAGCACAUUACGGCACAU